Molecule: ribosomal RNA, 229 nt
Filed under: uncultured bacterium
Lineage: Bacteria
Description: partial 16S ribosomal RNA
Rfam family: Bacterial small subunit ribosomal RNA
Source: RNAcentral
UCCGUAGGUGGAUCAAUUAGUCAGUGGUGAAAUCCUGCAGCUUAACUGUAGAACUGCCAUUGAUACUGUUGAUCUUGAGUAUAGUUGAGGUAGGCGGAAUGAGUAGUGUAGCGGUGAAAUGCUUAGAGAUUACUCAGAACACCGAUUGCGAAGGCAGCUUACUAAACUAUUACUGACACUGAUGGACGAAAGCGUGGGGAGCGAACAGGAUUAGAUACCCUGGUAGUCC